This 783-nucleotide ribosomal RNA is filed under the name uncultured marine bacterium. Its description in RNAcentral is "bacterial SSU rRNA". It matches the Rfam family "Bacterial small subunit ribosomal RNA", at positions 14 to 794 of the family's 1533-position model. The record is from RNAcentral.
UGAUCCUGGCUCAGAUUGAACGCUGGCGGCAGGCCUAACACAUGCAAGUCGAACGGUAACAUUUCUAGCUUGCUAGAAGAUGACGAGUGGCGGACGGGUGAGUAAUGCUUGGGAACUUGCCUUUGCGAGGGGGAUAACAGUUGGAAACGACUGCUAAUACCGCAUAAUGUCUUCGGACCAAACGGGGCUUAGGCUCCGGCGCAAAGAGAGGCCCAAGUGAGAUUAGCUAGUUGGUGAGGUAAAGGCUCACCAAGGCAACGAUCUCUAGCUGUUCUGAGAGGAAGAUCAGCCACACUGGGACUGAGACACGGCCCAGACUCCUACGGGAGGCAGCAGUGGGGAAUAUUGCACAAUGGGCGAAAGCCUGAUGCAGCCAUGCCGCGUGUGUGAAGAAGGCCUUCGGGUUGUAAAGCACUUUCAGUUGUGAGGAAAAGUUGGUAGUUAAUACCUGCCAGCCGUGACGUUAACAACAGAAGAAGCACCGGCUAACUCCGUGCCAGCAGCCGCGGUAAUACGGAGGGUGCGAGCGUUAAUCGGAAUUACUGGGCGUAAAGCGCACGCAGGCGGUUUGUUAAGCUAGAUGUGAAAGCCCCGAGCUCAACUUGGGAUGGUCAUUUAGAACUGGCAGACUAGAGUCUUGGAGAGGGGAGUGGAAUUCCAGGUGUAGCGGUGAAAUGCGUAGAUAUCUGGAGGAACAUCAGUGGCGAAGGCGACUCCCUGGCCAAAGACUGACGCUCAUGUGCGAAAGUGUGGGUAGCGAACAGGAUUAGAUACCCUGGUAGU